UACGGGGGGGGCAAGCGUUGUUCGGAAUUACUGGGCGUAAAGGGCUCGUAGGCGGCCCACUAAGUCAGACGUGAAAUCCCCAGGCUUAACCUGGGAACUGCGUCUGAUACUGGAUGGCUUGAAUCCGGGAGAGGGAUGCAGAAUUCCAGGUGUAGCGGUGAAAUGCGCAGAUAUCAGGAGGAACACCGGUGGCGAAGGCGGGUCUCUGGGCAACAACUGACGCUGAGGAGCGAAAGCGUGGGGAGCGAACAGG
Molecule: ribosomal RNA, 253 nt
Filed under: uncultured bacterium
Lineage: Bacteria
Description: partial 16S ribosomal RNA
Rfam family: Bacterial small subunit ribosomal RNA
Source: RNAcentral